This 486-nucleotide ribosomal RNA is filed under the name Flavobacteriaceae bacterium JJ-1631. RNAcentral describes it as "bacterial SSU rRNA". It matches the Rfam family "Bacterial small subunit ribosomal RNA", at positions 8 to 493 of the family's 1533-position model. The record is from RNAcentral. Lineage: Bacteria; Pseudomonadati; Bacteroidota; Flavobacteriia; Flavobacteriales; Flavobacteriaceae.
AGAGUUUGAUUCAUGGCUCAGGAUGAACGCUAGCGGCAGGCUUAACACAUGCAAGUCGAGGGGUAUAUUUCUUCGGAGAUAGAGACCGGCGCACGGGUGCGUAACGCGUAUGCAAUCUACCUUUUACAGAGGGAUAGCCCAGAGAAAUUUGGAUUAAUACCUCAUAGUAUAGCUGUCACCGCAUGGUAGCUACUAUUAAAGUCACAACGGUAAAAGAUGAGCAUGCGUCCCAUUAGCUAGUUGGUAAGGUAACGGCUUACCAAGGCUACGAUGGGUAGGGGUCCUGAGAGGGAGAUCCCCCACACUGGUACUGAGACACGGACCAGACUCCUACGGGAGGCAGCAGUGAGGAAUAUUGGACAAUGGGCGCAAGCCUGAUCCAGCCAUGCCGCGUGCAGGAUGACGGUCCUAUGGAUUGUAAACUGCUUUUAUACGAGAAGAAACACUACUUCGUGAAGUAGCUGACGGUAUCGUAGAAUAGAUCGC